GGGGACCCGCAAGCGGUGGAGCAUGUGGUUUAAUUCGAAGCAACGCGAAGAACCUUACCAGGUCUUGACAUCCUCUGACAAUCCUAGAGAUAGGACUUUCCCCUUCGGGGGACAGAGUGACAGGUGGUGCAUGGUUGUCGUCAGCUCGUGUCGUGAGAUGUUGGGUUAAGUCCCGCAACGAGCGCAACCCUUGUCCUUAGUUGCCAGCAUUCAGUUGGGCACUCUAAGGAGACUGCCGGUGACAAACCGGAGGAAGGUGGGGAUGACGUCAAAUCAUCAUGCCCCUUAUGACCUGGGCUACACACGUGCUACAAUGGAUGGUACAAAGGGUUGCGAGACCGCGAGGUUUAGCCAAUCCCAUAAAACCAUUCUCAGUUCGGAUUGUAGGCUGCAACUCGCCUACAUGAAGCCGGAAUCGCUAGUAAUCGUGGAUCAGCAUGCCACGGUGAAUACGUUCCCGGGUCUUGUACACAC
This 474-nucleotide ribosomal RNA is filed under the name uncultured bacterium. RNAcentral describes it as "bacterial SSU rRNA". It matches the Rfam family "Bacterial small subunit ribosomal RNA", at positions 915 to 1390 of the family's 1533-position model. The record is from RNAcentral.